RNAcentral lists this ribosomal RNA (466 nucleotides) under uncultured bacterium. Its description in RNAcentral is "bacterial SSU rRNA". It matches the Rfam family "Bacterial small subunit ribosomal RNA", at positions 330 to 794 of the family's 1533-position model. The record is from RNAcentral.
UCCAGACUCCUACGGGAGGCAGCAGUGAGGAAUAUUGGUCAAUGGCCGAGAGGCUGAACCAGCCAAGUCGCGUGAGGGAAGACGGCCCUACGGGUUGUAAACCUCUUUUGUCGGGGAGCAAAGCGAGUCACGUGUGACUCAUUGAGAGUACCCGAAGAAAAAGCAUCGGCUAACUCCGUGCCAGCAGCCGCGGUAAUACGGAGGAUGCGAGCGUUAUCCGGAUUUAUUGGGUUUAAAGGGUGCGUAGGCGGGUUAUCAAGUCAGCGGUAAAAUCGUGGAGCUCAACUCCAUCCAGCCGUUGAAACUGGUUUUCUUGAGUGAGUGAGAAGUAUGCGGAAUGCGUGGUGUAGCGGUGAAAUGCAUAGAUAUCACGCAGAACUCCGAUUGCGAAGGCAGCAUACCGGCGCUCAGCUGACGCUCAUGCACGAAAGUGUGGGUAUCGAACAGGAUUAGAUACCCGAGUAGC